RNAcentral lists this ribosomal RNA (253 nucleotides) under uncultured bacterium. Its description in RNAcentral is "partial 16S ribosomal RNA". It matches the Rfam family "Bacterial small subunit ribosomal RNA", at positions 524 to 776 of the family's 1533-position model. The record is from RNAcentral.
UACGUAGGGUGCGAGCGUUAAUCGGAAUUACUGGGCGUAAAGCGUGCGCAGGCGGUUCGUCGUGUCUGAUGUGAAAGCCCCGGGCUCAACCUGGGAAUGGCAUUGGAAACUGGCGGACUAGAGUGUGGCAGAGGGGGGUGGAAUUCCGCGUGUAGCAGUGAAAUGCGUAGAGAUGCGGAGGAACACCGAUGGCGAAGGCAGCCCCCUGGGCUAAAACUGACGCUCAGGCACGAAAGCGUGGGGAGCAAACAGG